This is a non-coding RNA of Pelobates cultripes (western spadefoot toad), 148 nucleotides long. NCBI's taxonomy places the organism in Eukaryota, Metazoa, Chordata, Amphibia, Anura, Pelobatidae. The record is from the annotation of a GenBank genome assembly.
UGGCGAACUCCGGUCAGCUGACACAUCCCUGCCAAUCUCUGGCAGACCCUCCCUCCCAGACCCUCCUACUUCCUGGACAGCAUCCAUGUUGGGAGGGUCUGGCAGGGAGAGUCUGCCGGAGAUUGGCAGGGAUGUGUCAGCUGACCGG